Molecule: long non-coding RNA, 1623 nt
Organism: Limulus polyphemus (Atlantic horseshoe crab)
Lineage: Eukaryota; Metazoa; Arthropoda; Merostomata; Xiphosura; Limulidae
Exons: 2
Source: RefSeq, a predicted model, not a curated record
UUUGUAAAACAGAACAUUUAAUCGUGAAAUCAACUUCGUCUUAAAUAUUUUAUGUUUCUCGUUGUUUCAAAUAAAACAAGUUAAUGUCAUUUCAAGGGUAUUUUAGACAGUGUAGACAUAGUAGAGUUUUUCCUGCCUGUUUCGGCUUAUAUUUUGAAGCCUUAUUCAGCUGUAAACUGAAUAAGUCCUCGGUAUAGAAGCCGAAACGUCAUCCAACUCUUCAAGCCAAAAACUCUACUAGAAUUAGUGAACCUUUUAAAUAGUGUUUUCACUUAUUUUAAUUUCUAAAAGAGUAAGAAAAAUAUUAAUUUUUUUCCUUAAUGAUACUGAUAACUUUGAAGAUGGAAGUUGUUAAAUACGAUUAAUUAGUGUAAUUAGUUUCCUUCUUACAAUAUUGAAUUACAACGAAAUCAGAGUAUAGUUUGAGGCUUGUUUCCCUGAAAUAGGAAAACCUCGUUAAAACUUACAUUUUAACGGUUUAAACCUAAAAUCUGUACGUUAUUUAUAUCAGUUCUAUAGUAUACCUAAAGGCGGACGUAUGAAAGCUUAUCUAUCAUCCAAGUAAAUGUUUCUCUCCCCAAUCAGAAAAGGGGUUUACGUAAUAAGAUAUACACACAGCUGGGUUAACAGAUCUAAGUAGGAGGAGCUUCUGUUUUCCUUUAGUUUCAGUACUGAUGACGUCGAUAUCGUGACUAAUAAAAGUAGCCUGAAAUCUGCAAGAGGACAGAAGAGACGGUGAAGUUGACUAGCAGUUAGGAAACUAGCACUUGUUCCCAGAAGAAACGUUACGAAACAAUGUCCCAUACAACCUCUUCUAUUGUUUCCCUGGUAACCUUGGUUGCCCUGGUAACCUUCCAGACCACGGAAGCCUUCGGUCGAGGACCGUUCCGCAGCCUCACGCUCGUGAAAAAACUUGCUUCCAACCCAGAAUAUGGUGGUGGCCUUCAUCUGGCAUCACCUGACGUCAUUUAUGGAUUCGACCAAACCACUCCUUUCGACUGGAGGAUAGCACGAAAUCCAUUCCACGAGUCUCUGAAUUACUUGACGUACCUGGAUCAUCUUGUGAAGAAAAAGUCCGUGGACACCGAAGACGAACACCAAGACCAAGAACUCAAACGUGACGGAAACAGGAAGUUCCAAACCCAAGGUUGGAGGAGAUAAAUGGACAGGCAAUGUCCGUUUACGGAACCGUAUAUUGCUUUGCAUAGUUAUAUCCUAGAUAAAAGCUAACUGACUAAAUUUUUGUCCAUUAUUGGGAAAAUAUAGAUUUCCAAAACGUAUGAUUAAACCGACAAUUUUGUUGUUCUAAGUAACUGAAGUAGUAUUUUUUUCCAGUAGUUACGUAACAUAAAUAUUUCUUCUACUUAAUAUUGCAGAGACAUAAAUUUGAAUUAGCGAUGAAAAGUGUUACCUCAACUUUCUUUGUAAAAUAUUGACCAUGUCAUUCACUUUAACCAAUAGCAUCAGGUGAUAUACGAAUAGCUAAUUCUGUUAUUAUUUAUUGAUUAUCCAAGAUACUUUUCCUGAUACAGAAAAGAAUGAACAAGAUGGUUUCUUUUGCUGUAUUAUUAUUAUUUGUGAACAAAUUUCCGUUUAAAUAAAGUGUAUGUGUAUGAAUCAAAA